RNAcentral lists this ribosomal RNA (347 nucleotides) under uncultured soil bacterium. RNAcentral's name for it is "bacterial SSU rRNA". It matches the Rfam family "Bacterial small subunit ribosomal RNA", at positions 26 to 385 of the family's 1533-position model. The record is from RNAcentral.
AGAUUGAACGCUGGCGGCAUGCCUAACACAUGCAAGUCGAACGGGAGUAGCAAUACUCUAGUGGCGGACGGGUGAGGAAUACGUAGGAAUUUGCCCUUAAGUGGGGGAUAACCCGGGGAAACCCGGAUUAAUACCGCAUGACCUCGAAAGAGCAAAGUGGGGGAUCGCAAGACCUCACGCUUUUGGAGAAGCCUACGUCGGAUUAGCUAGUUGGUGAGGUAAUGGCUCACCAAGGCGACGAUCCGUAACUGGUCUGAGAGGAUGAUCAGUCACACCGGAACUGAGACACGGUCCGGACUCCUACGGGAGCAGCAGUGGGGAAUAGUUGGACAAUGGGCGCAAGCCUG